UACGUAGGGUGCAAGCGUUAAUCGGAAUUACUGGGCGUAAAGGGUGCGUAGGCGGUUCGUUAAGUCUGUCGUGAAAUCCCCGGGCUCAACCUGGGAAUGGCGAUGGAUACUGGCGAGCUAGAGUGUGUCAGAGGAUGGUGGAAUUCCCGGUGUAGCGGUGAAAUGCGUACGAGAUCGGGAGGAACAUCAGUGGCGAAGGCGGCCAUCUGGGACAACACUGACGCUGAAGCACGAAAGCGUGGGGAGCAAACAGG
Molecule: ribosomal RNA, 254 nt
Filed under: uncultured bacterium
Lineage: Bacteria
Description: partial 16S ribosomal RNA
Rfam family: Bacterial small subunit ribosomal RNA
Source: RNAcentral